This 107-nucleotide small RNA is filed under the name Flavobacterium sp. Its description in RNAcentral is "6S RNA". It matches the Rfam family "6S-Flavo RNA". The record is from RNAcentral. Lineage: Bacteria; Pseudomonadati; Bacteroidota; Flavobacteriia; Flavobacteriales; Flavobacteriaceae.
ACUCAACACCAAUACAUUAAAAUGGGUGAAUCAUCGCUGUUAAAGCAAGCUGCCUCAGAGCAGAUCCUUGAUCAGCGGGUUAGCUCAAAACUUGUCUUUACGAGUUU